UCCUUCGCGAACGGGAAGGCCAAAAUUGGCCUGCAAUUGCUGUUGCAAAAUCCAUGACUCCUCAACUCCUCGAAACUCUCUGUUAGCUAUCUGAAACCACCCCAAGGCCCCCGGGACCUCAACGAAAAAUGCCAACCCUUCCUAAAAUAUCAUACAAACCCGUUCCAAUCAUAAAAACACAUCCAACAACACAAGAAUCAUCAAUUCUCAACGGAUUCAAGCCUAAGUUCAACCAAAACUUCCGAAACUCACAUUCGAUCAAAAACCCGACCUAAA
RNAcentral lists this long non-coding RNA (276 nucleotides) under Nicotiana benthamiana. Its description in RNAcentral is "long non-coding RNA (NBEN_LNC040030)". The record is from RNAcentral. Lineage: Eukaryota; Viridiplantae; Streptophyta; Magnoliopsida; Solanales; Solanaceae.